Triplophysa dalaica is the source of this 444-nucleotide long non-coding RNA. RefSeq lists it as uncharacterized. The record is from RefSeq and is a predicted model, not a curated record. The transcript has 5 exons. Lineage: Eukaryota; Metazoa; Chordata; Actinopteri; Cypriniformes; Nemacheilidae.
AGUCUUUCUCUCUCUUCAUCGGCACAUGCUUGUGUGCACGUUUAGGAAGUCUGUGUGCUGAUUUGGUUUUAAACACGAUGCGUGAAUCCACAAUCCGAUCGCAACGGAUCCAGACCAACGUGAUCGACACUGGAUGAUGUAUGAUGGAGUCUUUACUCGCGCGUUAACAGCUCUCAUUGAAGAGAUGCUCCUCAAGAUCUUCACCAGAAUGCUGGCCUGACUAUUGAUCAGAGCUUCUGCUAGAGCCGGUCCGAGGUCUUUGAUGCCAAAACCUCUUCAUGUGACCUAAACCACAGUUUGCUGGGCCAGAAUCCUUCUGUUUUAGGAAUGAAUAUUCCUUGCGUUACUAAGAUGACUGGAGAGAUGUUCAACAGACCACAACAAAACUCAAAUGCUUGUAUUUAUUAAAGUAUCAAAGUUGUCAAUAAAUGAAUAUAAAAUGUU